RNAcentral lists this long non-coding RNA (285 nucleotides) under Vitis vinifera (wine grape). RNAcentral describes it as "long non-coding RNA (VVIN_LNC005775)". The record is from RNAcentral. Lineage: Eukaryota; Viridiplantae; Streptophyta; Magnoliopsida; Vitales; Vitaceae.
UCAAGCUCAUGGUUGUUGUGCUUUUUUUGUUAUUGCAUUGUGUUUGUUUUUGCACUGCAGUUGCAGGUUCCUCAGGAGGGAAGAAAGGGAAAUGGCAGCUUCUCCUGAACAACACUGGUGUGGUGGGUAUGCAUAUGGCCUUAACCCAUCAUGGCACCGUAAUAAUAUUCGAUCAAAUUGGAGUGGGCCAGUCGGGUUAUGGACUCCGUCGAAGGUAUAAUGGAACAAGGUGCAUGAAUACUCAGCAUGAUUUAACAGACUGGUCCUGCUUUGCUCACUCUGUUG